Pantherophis guttatus is the source of this 425-nucleotide non-coding RNA. The record is from RefSeq and is a predicted model, not a curated record. NCBI's taxonomy places the organism in Eukaryota, Metazoa, Chordata, Lepidosauria, Squamata, Colubridae.
GAAGGAAGUGAAGGAAGGGGAGAGGAGGAGGAAGAAAAGGAGGAGGAGGAGACUGGACCUGAUUUUUCUUCCGACACUCUCGGGGGAUAAAAAUAAAAACCCCGACUGGAAGUACCAACCAAAGAGGCUUAACGUGGAGGAAAUAGGCAGCUGCUGUCCAAAGGAAGAGGGAGACACGGACACAAAGUUUUACUUUUGCUUCCCUAUAAAGGUAUUUAAGAUUCGCAGCAGAGAAGACAGUCAGGAAGAUCCUGAGGAGGUGUGAAGGAAUUGACACCAGAAACCCUUGCCUCUCUAGGACGCAGCACUCGUUCUUCUUAACCCUUGGGGCCCCGCAGGUGGCAGAGAGGUGCGGGAGAGUCUGGCGGGGGACAUCCAGAGGUUCCCCGGAUACAGAAACUGGAAGCCAUUUGUGGUCUUUGCAA